AUUGAACGCUGGCGGCAUGCCUUACACAUGCAAGUCGAACGGCAGCACGGGAGCAAUCCUGGUGGCGAGUGGCGAACGGGUGAGUAAUAUAUCGGAACGUGCCCGGUCGUGGGGAUAACGUAGCGAAAGCUACGCUAAUACCGCAUACGAUCUACGGAUGAAAGCGGGGGAUCGCAAGACCUCGCGCGAUUGGAGCGGCCGAUAUCAGAUUAGGUAGUUGGUGAGGUAAAGGCUCACCAAGCCGACGAUCUGUAGCUGGUCUGAGAGGACGACCAGCCACACUGGGACUGAGACACGGCCCAGACUCCUACGGGAGGCAGCAGUGGGGAAUUUUGGACAAUGGGCGCAAGCCUGAUCCAGCAAUGCCGCGUGCAGGAUGAAGGCCUUGGUUGUAAACUGCUUUGUACGGUAACG
This 414-nucleotide ribosomal RNA is filed under the name uncultured bacterium. RNAcentral's name for it is "bacterial SSU rRNA". It matches the Rfam family "Bacterial small subunit ribosomal RNA", at positions 30 to 447 of the family's 1533-position model. The record is from RNAcentral.